UACGUAGGAGGCAAGCGUUGUCCGGAAUCACUGGGCGUAAAGGGUGCGUAGGCGGGUCUUUAAGUCAGGGGUGAAAUCCUGGAGCUCAACUCCAGAACUGCCUUUGAUACUGAGGAUCUUGAGUUCGGGAGAGGUGAGUGGAACUCCGAGUGUAGAGGUGAAAUUCGUAGAUAUUCGGAAGAACACCAGUGGCGAAGGCGACUCACUGGCCCGAUACUGACGCUGAGGCGCGAAAGCGUGGGGAGCAAAUAGG
RNAcentral lists this ribosomal RNA (253 nucleotides) under uncultured bacterium. Its description in RNAcentral is "partial 16S ribosomal RNA". It matches the Rfam family "Bacterial small subunit ribosomal RNA", at positions 524 to 776 of the family's 1533-position model. The record is from RNAcentral.